This 375-nucleotide ribosomal RNA is filed under the name uncultured organism. Its description in RNAcentral is "bacterial SSU rRNA". It matches the Rfam family "Bacterial small subunit ribosomal RNA", at positions 526 to 897 of the family's 1533-position model. The record is from RNAcentral.
CGUAGGGUGCGAGCGUUGUCCGGAAUUAUUGGGCGUAAAGGGCUCGUAGGCGGUUUGUCACGUCGGGAGUGAAAAACUCAGGGCUCAACCCUGAGCCUGCUUCCGAUACGGGCAGACUAGAGGUAUGCAGGGGAGAACGGAAUUCCUGGUGUAGCGGUGAAAUGCGCAGAUAUCAGGAGGAACACCGGUGGCGAAGGCGGUUCUCUGGGCAUUACCUGACGCUGAGGAGCGAAAGUGUGGGGAGCGAACAGGAUAGAUACCCUGGUAGUCCACGCCGUAAACGUUGGGCGCUAGGUGUGGGACUCAUUCCACGAGUUCCGUGCCGCAGCUAACGCAUUAAGCGCCCCGCCUGGGGGAGUACGGCCGCAAGGCUAA